GUGAAUCAUCGAAUCUUUGAACGCACAUUGCGCCCUCUGGUAUUCCGGAGGGCAUGCCUGUUCGAGCGUCAUUACAACCCUCAAGCUCUGCUUGGUAUUGGGCGUCACCAGUUCUGGUGUGCUCUAAAAUCAGUGGCGGUGCCAUCUGGCUCUAAGCGUAGUACAUCUCUCGCUAUGGGUGCCCGGUGGAUGCUUGCCAACAACCCCCAAUUUUUCAGGUUGACCUCGGAUCAGGUAGGGAUACCCGCUGAACUUAAGCAUAUCAAUAAGCGGAGGA
This 277-nucleotide unclassified non-coding RNA is filed under the name Helotiales sp. Its description in RNAcentral is "partial contains 5.8S ribosomal RNA, internal transcribed spacer 2, and large subunit ribosomal RNA". The stretch from base 1 to 71 matches the Rfam family "5.8S ribosomal RNA", at positions 84 to 154 of the family's 154-position model. Lineage: Eukaryota; Fungi; Ascomycota; Leotiomycetes; Helotiales. The record is from RNAcentral.